GCAGUGGUGGUUCAGCGGUAGAAUUCCUGCCUUCCAUGCGGGAGAUCCAUGUUCGACUCCUGGUCAAUGUG
This 71-nucleotide transfer RNA is filed under the name Loxodonta africana (African savanna elephant). It matches the Rfam family "tRNA". Rfam says of the family: Transfer RNA (tRNA) molecules are approximately 80 nucleotides in length. Their secondary structure includes four short double-helical elements and three loops (D, anti-codon, and T loops). The record is from Rfam by way of RNAcentral. Lineage: Eukaryota; Metazoa; Chordata; Mammalia; Proboscidea; Elephantidae.